This is a long non-coding RNA of Oncorhynchus masou masou (cherry salmon), 133 nucleotides long. RefSeq lists it as uncharacterized. The transcript has 3 exons. The record is from RefSeq and is a predicted model, not a curated record. NCBI's taxonomy places the organism in Eukaryota, Metazoa, Chordata, Actinopteri, Salmoniformes, Salmonidae.
UGGUACACUCGGUCUACACGAGGCUCAGCUGUUUCAUCCUGGAGACCUGCAAGACCUGUCCACACGCGCUACACUCAGGUGUGCAGAGAGCAAAAGGAGGCUGAGAAACGUUCUAAUCACCAUCUACUGGCUG